Molecule: unclassified non-coding RNA, 171 nt
Filed under: uncultured Trimmatostroma
Lineage: Eukaryota; Fungi; Ascomycota; Dothideomycetes; Mycosphaerellales; Mycosphaerellaceae
Description: sequence contains ITS2
Source: RNAcentral
UCCUCUCUCAAACCCUCUCGGGUUUGGUGUUGGACCGCGUUGGCCGCGAGGCCCCAACUGGUCUCAAAGACAAUGACGGUGUCCCAGGGACCCUCUUCGCACUGAGCUUUCCGGAGCACGCGUAGAGUUUCAAGGGCCCAGGGACCCGGUCGCCUCUAAAAACUUUUUUCA